RNAcentral lists this ribosomal RNA (918 nucleotides) under Salmonella enterica subsp. enterica serovar Ajiobo. RNAcentral's name for it is "partial 23S ribosomal RNA". It matches the Rfam family "Bacterial large subunit ribosomal RNA", at positions 1241 to 2141 of the family's 2925-position model. The record is from RNAcentral. Lineage: Bacteria; Pseudomonadati; Pseudomonadota; Gammaproteobacteria; Enterobacterales; Enterobacteriaceae.
CUGUAAGCCUGCGAAGGUGGCCUGUGAGGGUUGCUGGAGGUAUCAGAAGUGCGAAUGCUGACAUAAGUAACGAUAAAGCGGGUGAAAAGCCCGCUCGCCGGAAGACCAAGGGUUCCUGUCCAACGUUAAUCGGGGCAGGGUGAGUCGACCCCUAAGGCGAGGCCGAAAGGCGUAGUCGAUGGGAAACGGGUUAAUAUUCCCGUACUUGGUGUUACUGCGAAGGGGGGACGGAGAAGGCUAUGUUGGCCGGGCGACGGUUGUCCCGGUUUAAGCGUGUAGGUGUGUGUUCCAGGUAAAUCCGGUUCACUUUAACACUGAGGCGUGACGACGAGGCACUACGGUGCUGAAGCAACAAAUGCCCUGCUUCCAGGAAAAGCCUCUAAGCAUCAGGUAACAUCAAAUCGUACCCCAAACCGACACAGGUGGUCAGGUAGAGAAUACCAAGGCGCUUGAGAGAACUCGGGUGAAGGAACUAGGCAAAAUGGUGCCGUAACUUCGGGAGAAGGCACGCUGACACGUAGGUGAAGUGAUUUACUCAUGGAGCUGAAGUCAGUCGAAGAUACCAGCUGGCUGCAACUGUUUAUUAAAAACACAGCACUGUGCAAACACGAAAGUGGACGUAUACGGUGUGACGCCUGCCCGGUGCCGGAAGGUUAAUUGAUGGGGUCAGCGCAAGCGAAGCUCCUGAUCGAAGCCCCGGUAAACGGCGGCCGUAACUAUAACGGUCCUAAGGUAGCGAAAUUCCUUGUCGGGUAAGUUCCGACCUGCACGAAUGGCGUAAUGAUGGCCAGGCUGUCUCCACCCGAGACUCAGUGAAAUUGAACUCGCUGUGAAGAUGCAGUGUACCCGCGGCAAGACGGAAAGACCCCGUGAACCUUUACUAUAGCUUGACACUGAACAUUGAGCCUUGAUGUGUAG